AACCUAGCACACCUGCGGUGUGUACCUGCGGAGGGAUCAUUACCGAGUGAGGGCCCUCCGGGUCCAACCUCCCACCCGUGUUUAACGAACCUUGUUGCUUCGGCGGGCCCGCCUCACGGCCGCCGGGGGGCACUCCGCCCCCGGGCCCGCGCCCGCCGAAGACACCUGUGAACGCUGUCUGAAGUUGCAGUCUGAGACACUAGCUCAAUCAGUUAAAACUUUCAACAAUGGAUCUCAGAU
This 240-nucleotide unclassified non-coding RNA is filed under the name soil metagenome. Its description in RNAcentral is "partial contains 5.8S ribosomal RNA, internal transcribed spacer 2, and large subunit ribosomal RNA". The record is from RNAcentral.